AGCGGGGUAGAGGAGUAGUACCUCGCCAGCCUCAUAAGCUGGAGAUCGCUGGUGCAAGUCCAGCCCCCGCAACAA
Molecule: transfer RNA, 75 nt
Filed under: Candidatus Parcubacteria bacterium
Lineage: Bacteria; Candidatus Parcubacteria
Description: tRNA-Met
Rfam family: tRNA
About the family: Transfer RNA (tRNA) molecules are approximately 80 nucleotides in length.
Source: RNAcentral